AUACGGAGGGGGUGAGCGUUGUUCGGAAUUACUGGGCGUAAAGCGCACGUAGGCGGAUUGGAAAGUUGGGGGUGAAAUCCCAGGGCUCAACCCUGGAACUGCCUCCAAAACUAACAGUCUAGAGUACGAGAGAGGUGAGUGGAAUUCCAAGUGUAGAGGUGAAAUUCGUAGAUAUUUGGAGGAACACCAGUGGCGAAGGCGGCUCACUGGCUCGAUACUGACGCUGAGGUGCGAAAGCGUGGGGAGCAAACAGGAUUAGAUACCCCUGUAGUCC
This 274-nucleotide ribosomal RNA is filed under the name uncultured bacterium. RNAcentral's name for it is "partial 16S ribosomal RNA". It matches the Rfam family "Bacterial small subunit ribosomal RNA", at positions 523 to 796 of the family's 1533-position model. The record is from RNAcentral.